AGAGCAUAGGGUGAAUGCCCAUGCACCAGAAGCCGAAGAAGGACGUGGUAAGCUGCGAAAAGCUGCGGAGAGCUGCAAACAAGCUUUGACCCGCAGAUGUCCGAAUGGGGAAACCCACAUGGAGUAAUGUCCAUGUACGCAUACAUGAAUACAUAGUGUAUGAGAGGCACACCCGGGGAACUGAAACAUCUAAGUACCCGGAGGAAGAGAAAGAAAAACCUCGAUUCCCUAAGUAGCGGCGAGCGAACGGGGAAGAGCCCAAACCUAUUGGGGAAACCGAAUAGGGGUUGCGGACCGAUCAACAACGUUCCAAGGAAGUCAGUCGAAGCAGCUGGAAAGCUGAGUCAGAGAAAGUGAAAACCUUGUAGGCGAAGACUAAGUUAGGAACAAGAUCGGAUCCAGAGUACCACGAGGCACGUGAAACCUUGUGGGAAGCAGGGAGGACCACCUCCCAAGGCUAAAUACUAACUGGUGACCUAUAGCGAUUAGUACCGUGAGGGAAAGGUGAAAAGAACCCCGGGAGGGGAGUGAAAUAGAACCUGAAACCCUAUGUUUACAGACUGUGGAAGUGCCUUAAGAGCACGACCGCGUACUUUUUGUAGAACGGACCGGCGAGUUAUGGUAGCAUGCAGGGUUAAGCACUGAAGGUGUGAAGCCGAAGGGAAACCGAGUCCUAAGAGGGCGUAAUAGUAUGUUGCUGUAGACCCGAAACCAGGUGACCUAUCCAAGUGCAGGGUGAAGUUGGAGUAAAAUCCAUUGGAGGCCCGAACCCACUGCUGUUGAAAAAGUAGGGGAUGACGUUUGGAUAGAGGUGAAAUGCCAAUCGAACCUGGAGAUAGCUGGUUCUCCCCGAAAUAGCUUUAGGGCUAGCCUCGGGAUAUAAGCCAUGGAGGUAGAGCACUGAACGGGCUAGGGGGCCAACAAGCUUACCGAACCCUAUCAAACUCCGAAUGCCAUGGAAUUUUAAGCCCGGGAGUCAGACUAUGUGAGAUAAGUUUCAUAGUCAAAAGGGAAACAGCCCAGACCAACGGCUAAGGUCCCCAAGUACAGGUUAAGUGGAAAAGGAUGUGGAAUUGCGCAGACAACCAGGAUGUUGGCUUAGAAGCAGCCACACAUUCAAAGAGUGCGUAAUAGCUCACUGGUCGAGUGAUUCCGCGCCGAAAAUGUCCGGGGCUAAAACCUGUCACCGAAGCUUUGGCAUACAGAGGAAACUCUGGAUGGGUAGGGGAGCAUUGUAUUAGGGCAGAAGCCUGACCGUGAGGACAGGUGGACAUAAUACAAGAGAGAAUGCCGGUAUAAGUAGCGAGAGGGUGGUGAGAAUCCACCCCGUCGAAAACCUGAGGUUUCCUGAGGAAGGUUCGUCCACUCAGGGAUAGUCGGGACCUAAGCUGAGGGCGAAAGCCGUAGGCGAUGGACAAUCGGUUGAUAUUCCGAUACCACCUAUAUGCGUUAAGGACAAGCAGUGACACAGGAGGAUGACUGAAGCGGGUUGAUGGUAGAGCCCGUCCAAGCAACGAGUCUUAAGAGCGAGUGAAGCACCGUUCUUUAUAAGGGCGAGAUGUGAAGGGGACCGAAAUUAAGUAGGGAAGUCAGGUAAGUCACACUGGCAAGAAAAGCUGCUAAUCAGCAUGUGGGUGCCCGUACCGCAAACCGACACAGGUAGGUGAGGAGAGAAUCCUAAGACGAGCGGGAUAACCCUUGUUAAGGAACUCGGCAAAAUUACCCCGUAACUUCGGGAUAAGGGGGGCCGCGAGAGCGGCAGCAUGAAAUAGGCCCAAGCGACUGUUUAGCAAAAACACAGGUCUCUGCCAACUCGAAAGAGGAAGUAUAGGGGCUGACGCCUGCCCAGUGCUGGAAGGUUAAGGGGAGAUGUGAGAGCAUUAAACCGAAGCCCCAGUGAACGGCGGCCGUAACUAUAACGGUCCUAAGGUAGCGAAAUUCCUUGUCGGGUAAGUUCCGACCCGCACGAAUGGCGUAACGACUUGGGCGCUGUCUCAACAAGGGACCCGGCGAAAUUGGAGUGCCAGUGAAGAUACUGGCUACCCGCGAUUGGACGGAAAGACCCCGUAGAGCUUUACUGUAGCCUGAUACUGGACAUUGGUAGUGGAUGUACAGGAUAGGUGGGAGGCUGGGAAGCAUGUGCGUCAGCAUGUGUGGAGCCAACCUUGGGAUACCACCCUUUCAGUACCGGUGUUCUAACCGCAAGCCAUGAGCUGGCAGCGGGACAAUGUCAGGUGGGCAGUUUGACUGGGGCGGUCGCCUCCCAAAGAGUAACGGAGGCGCCCAAAGGUUCCCUCAGAAUGGUUGGAAAUCAUUCGUAGAGUGUAAAGGCAGAAGGGAGCCUGACUGCGAGAGCUACAACUCGAGCAGGGACGAAAGUCGGGCUUAGUGAUCUGGCGGUAUCGAGUGGAAGAGCCGUCACUUAACGGAUAAAAGCUACCUCGGGGAUAACAGGCUGAUCUCCCCCAAGCGUCCACAGCGACGGGGAGGUUUGGCACCUCGAUGUCGGCUCGUCGCAUCCUGGGGCUGAAGUAGGUCCCAAGGGUUUGGCUGUUCGCCAAUUAAAGCGGCACGCGAGCUGGGUUCAGAACGUCGUGAGACAGUUCGGUCCCUAUCCAUCGCGGGCGUAGG
RNAcentral lists this ribosomal RNA (2631 nucleotides) under freshwater metagenome. RNAcentral describes it as "bacterial LSU rRNA". It matches the Rfam family "Bacterial large subunit ribosomal RNA". The record is from RNAcentral.